Molecule: ribosomal RNA, 465 nt
Filed under: Vreelandella stevensii
Lineage: Bacteria; Pseudomonadati; Pseudomonadota; Gammaproteobacteria; Oceanospirillales; Halomonadaceae
Description: partial 16S ribosomal RNA
Rfam family: Bacterial small subunit ribosomal RNA
Source: RNAcentral
CCUACGGGUGGCAGCAGUGGGGAAUAUGGGACAAUGGGGGGAACCCUGAUCCAGCCAUGCCGCUGGUGUGAAGAAGGCCCUCGGGUUGUAAAGCACUUUCAGUGAGGAAGAACGCCUGGUGGUUAAUACCCAUCAGGAAAGACAUCACUCACAGAAGAAGCACCGGCUAACUCCGUGCCAGCAGCCGCGGUAAUACGGAGGGUGCGAGCGUUAAUCGGAAUUACUGGGCGUAAAGCGCGCGUAGGUGGCUUGAUAAGCCGGUUGUGAAAGCCCCGGGCUCAACCUUGGAACGGCAUCCGGAACUGUCAAGCUAGAGUGCAGGAGAGGAAGGUAGAAUUCCCGGUGUAGCGGUGAAAUGCGUAGAGAUCGGGAGGCAUACCAGUGGCGAAGGCGGCCUUCUGGACUGACACUGACACUGAGGUGCGAAAGCGUGGGUAGCAAACAGGAUUAGAUACCCCAGUAGUC